Molecule: long non-coding RNA, 547 nt
Filed under: Sander lucioperca (pikeperch)
Lineage: Eukaryota; Metazoa; Chordata; Actinopteri; Perciformes; Percidae
Description: lncRNA (ENSSLUG00000001845.1)
Source: RNAcentral
ACCUAAUAAAAAAUGUGAUCGAAAUCAACUCUUUGAUUAUGUCUCAAACACACACAACAGACUACUAUUCAGACAAGAGCCUCCAGAUUUGUCAAUGCGGCUGGUCCAAAGUUACGACUUACCAGGGCCUGAGAACCCACCAAGGCAUGAUGGGAUGCACGCCAAAGGGUGUGAAGGUUGAAGCGAAUGAACAGCAGUACAUGUGGGGUCAUGUGGGACUCACAGACAAUCAAAAAGACUUCAGGCUGGAUGUCGACACUUCUAUCAAGACUGACACAACAGACUACUAUUCAGGCAUGAGCCUCCAGGUUUGUCACUGUGGCUGGUCCAAAGUUACGACUUACCAAGGCCUGAGAAUCCACCAGGGGAAGAUGGGAUGCACGCCGAAGAAAACGAGGAGCCCAAAGACAGAGGAGUGCGACUGGAACAAUCAGGGGGAAGAAGUGGGUCAAAGGAAACAUCAGCCAGCUAAGAGAACAACUGUCAAGAAGGAGAAUGCGCCGUUGCGGCCAAGCACCAACAGCCGUACCAUCUCUGCAGAAAAAAC